AACGAACGCUGGCGGCACGCCUAACACAUGCAAGUCGAACGCCUUGUGGCAACACAGGGAGUGGCGGACGGGUGAGUAACGCGUGGGAACCUGCCCUAUGGUGCGGGACAACUCCGGGAAACCGGGGCGUAAUACCGCAUGUUCCGGGUCGCGAGAUCCGGCAAAGAUUUAUCGCCAUGGAGGGCCGCGUCGGAUUAGGUAGUUGGUGGGUAACGGCGUACCAAGCCUUCGAUCCGUAGCUGGUCUGAGAGGAUGGCCAGCCACACUGGGACUGAGACACGGCCCAGACUCCUACGGGAGGCGAGCAGU
RNAcentral lists this ribosomal RNA (309 nucleotides) under uncultured bacterium. RNAcentral's name for it is "bacterial SSU rRNA". It matches the Rfam family "Bacterial small subunit ribosomal RNA", at positions 29 to 355 of the family's 1533-position model. The record is from RNAcentral.